GGAUUCCAGACUUUGAUUAUGGCUCAGGACGAACGCUGGCGGCGCGCCUAACACAUGCAAGUCGAACGAGAGAUGAGGAGCUUGCUCUUCAAAUCGAGUGGCGAACGGGUGAGUAACGCGUGAGGAACCUGCCUCAAAGAGGGGGACAACAGUUGGAAACGACUGCUAAUACCGCAUAAGCCCACGGCUCGGCAUCGAGCAGAGGGAAAAGGAGUGAUCCGCUUUGAGAUGGCCUCGCGUCCGAUUAGCUGGUUGGUGAGGUAACGGCCCACCAAGGCGACGAUCGGUAGCCGGACUGAGAGGUUGAACGGCCACAUUGGGACUGAGACACGGCCCAGACUCCUACGGGAGGCAGCAGUGGGGAAUAUUGCACAAUGGGGGAAACCCUGAUGCAGCGACGCCGCGUGGAGGAAGAAGGUCUUCGGAUUGUAAACUCCUGUUGUUGAGGAAGAUAAUGACGGUACUCAACAAGGAAGUGACGGCUAACUACGUGCCAGCAGCCGCGGUAAAACGUAGGUCACAAGCGUUGUCCGGAAUUACUGGGUGUAAAGGGAGCGCAGGCGGGAGGACAAGUUGGAAGUGAAAUCCAUGGGCUCAACCCAUGAACUGCUUUCAAAACUGUUUUUCUUGAGUAGUGCAGAGGUAGGCGGAAUUCCCGGUGUAGCGGUGGAAUGCGUAGAUAUCGGGAGGAACACCAGUGGCGAAGGCGGCCUACUGGGCACCAACUGACGCUGAGGCUCGAAAGUGUGGGUAGCAAACAGGAUUAGAUACCCUGGUAGUCCACACCGUAAACGAUGAUUACUAGGUGUUGGAGGAUUGACCCCUUCAGUGCCGCAGUUAACACAAUAAGUAAUCCACCUGGGGAGUACGACCGCAAGGUUGAAACUCAAAUGAAUUGACGG
RNAcentral lists this ribosomal RNA (902 nucleotides) under uncultured bacterium. Its description in RNAcentral is "bacterial SSU rRNA". It matches the Rfam family "Bacterial small subunit ribosomal RNA", at positions 1 to 916 of the family's 1533-position model. The record is from RNAcentral.